Long non-coding RNA from Cyprinus carpio carpio, 924 nucleotides. Lineage: Eukaryota; Metazoa; Chordata; Actinopteri; Cypriniformes; Cyprinidae. The record is from Ensembl.
GUAACGAGCCCUCGUGCGUUUUGCGUGUAAACCGGUUCGCGUUUGCGAUGAACGGUCUUCAAGCAUCAUCUUUUGUGUUCUGCAGAAGAAAGAAAGUCCUAUACGUUUGGAACGACGUGAGGCUUUGGGUCUGUGGCGGGGCUGGCUAGAUUCCCAUGGCACAGAGAGCAGCUGCCUGAGUUUCAGGGCUCUGGAUAAAACUGUUUCUCUUCCAUGCCGAGAGAACGUAAUGACAGUAGGGCCCUUUGGGCCUGCCAGCCAUCUGCAGGUCCAGGUCCUGGUUAAGCAUGACCAGGUGCAGAGAAAAGUCUUCUUGCUACCUCUCAGCUGAUUAGUGGAGCCGGUUGAUUGGUGCAAAUGAGGAAGCUUUUAUCCUGCUUGAGUAUAAUCUGCUUGCAUCUUUAUUGGCUAAAAGCAGGCGUGAUGCUGGCAUGACCCAGGCUGCCCCAGGACGCUGCCUUGCCUAGCUGCACAGAUCCUUGGAGCAUCUUUCCUAUUUGUCUGUCCCUCUCUGUGCUGCAACACAGCCUGUUAUUUCAAGGAAAGUGCAACCUUUGCCUUGGGCUUUAAUUAUGUUCAAUUUGCCAAGCCGAGCCUGAAAAAUUCAGAGGGUAAAAAAGCUCUAUGACCUAUUUAUUAAUGCUGCGUUGGGUCUAAAGCUACACUGAGAUCAGCACUGCAUCACUCAACAAUAACACCCAUCUCUGGAGAACAGACUUCAAUCACGUUGUACUCCUCUCUUACAAUGGGAAUUCAUUACUUUAUAAUAGAUCACUGACCAGUUAAUCAUUAUUAAAAGAAAUGUAAAAGUUUGUAGUUAAGUGUGAUUUGUAAUUGGUGUACAUUGUUGGAAUUGUACAUGAAAUUGGCAAAAUGGAAAUUAUAUAUAUAUAUAUAUAUAUAUAUAUAUAUAUAUAUAUAUAU